GUGGUGGCUCAGUGGUAGAGCUCUUGCCUGGCAUGUGGGAGGCACUGGGUCCGACUCUCAGCACCACA
Molecule: transfer RNA, 68 nt
Filed under: Ictidomys tridecemlineatus (thirteen-lined ground squirrel)
Lineage: Eukaryota; Metazoa; Chordata; Mammalia; Rodentia; Sciuridae
Description: Spermophilus tridecemlineatus (thirteen-lined ground squirrel) tRNA
Rfam family: tRNA
About the family: Transfer RNA (tRNA) molecules are approximately 80 nucleotides in length. Their secondary structure includes four short double-helical elements and three loops (D, anti-codon, and T loops). Further hydrogen bonds mediate the characteristic L-shaped molecular structure. tRNAs have two regions of fundamental functional importance: the anti-codon, which is responsible for specific mRNA codon recognition, and the 3' end, to which the tRNAs corresponding amino acid is attached (by aminoacyl-tRNA synthetases). tRNAs cope with the degeneracy of the genetic code in two manners: having more than one tRNA (with a specific anti-codon) for a particular amino acid; and 'wobble' base-pairing, i.e. permitting non-standard base-pairing at the 3rd anti-codon position.
Source: Rfam by way of RNAcentral